This 119-nucleotide ribosomal RNA is filed under the name Pteropus alecto (black flying fox). The record is from RNAcentral. Lineage: Eukaryota; Metazoa; Chordata; Mammalia; Chiroptera; Pteropodidae.
GUCUACCGUCAUGCUACCCUGAGCAAGCUUGAUCCCAUCUGAUCUCGGAAACUAAGCAGGGUCGAGCCUGGUUAGUACUUGGAUGGGAGACCACUUAGGAAGACCAGGUGCUGUAGACG